Molecule: long non-coding RNA, 385 nt
Filed under: Homo sapiens (human)
Lineage: Eukaryota; Metazoa; Chordata; Mammalia; Primates; Hominidae
Description: WARS1 antisense RNA 1 (WARS1-AS1)
Source: RNAcentral
CAGGAGCCAAGGAAGUUUAUUUACUCUACUGGGUGACAGGAGGGCAGAGUGCUCCAGAGGAGACCCAGAUACAUCAACCAAGGACUUCCCUGAGAUUUGGCUUUGCUCUUCCAGGGUCAGGUCCUUCCACAGAUACUUCUCGUCAUCCGUCAUCUGGAUGACCAAGGGCACGUUAAAUACAUCCUGGAGCCACCUAAAGAAACACAGGGGGAGAAAGCUGACGUCUCAUCUCCCCUGUGGAGGAACGCCAUCGUGCAUCUGAAAACACAGCUCCUACUUACAACGUAUGUUAAAACUUCCUUGCCUACAAAAUCACAAUUUGAAUUGUGAUAUGAAUUUGACUAUGGAUAAUGAUAAGGUCUACUACCAUUUAUCGACCAGGUGG